GAUGAACGCUAGCUACAGGCUUAACACAUGCAAGUCGAGGGGAAACGACAUCGAAAGCUUGCUUUUGAUGGGCGUCGACCGGCGCACGGGUGAGUAACGCGUAUCCAACCUGCCCACCACUUGGGGAUAACCUUGCGAAAGUAAGACUAAUGCCCAAUGACGUCUCUAGAAGACAUCUGAAAGAGAUUAAAGAUUUAUCGGUGAUGGAUGGGGAUGCGUCUGAUUAGCUUGUUGGCGGGGUAACGGCCCACCAAGGCGACGAUCAGUAGGGGUUCUGAGAGGAAGGUCCCCCACAUGGGAACUGAGACACGGUCCAAACUCCUACGGGAGGCAGCAGUGAGGAAUAUUGGUCAAUGGACGAGAGUCUGAACCAGCCAAGUAGCGUGCAGGAGGACGGCCCUAUGGGUUGUAAACUGCUUUUAUAAGGGAAUAAAGUGAGUCUCGUGAGACUUUUUGCAUGUACCUUAUGAAUAAGGACCGGCUAAUUCCGUG
Molecule: ribosomal RNA, 492 nt
Filed under: uncultured bacterium
Lineage: Bacteria
Description: partial 16S ribosomal RNA
Rfam family: Bacterial small subunit ribosomal RNA
Source: RNAcentral